Arabidopsis thaliana (thale cress) is the source of this 315-nucleotide long non-coding RNA. RefSeq annotates it as other RNA. Lineage: Eukaryota; Viridiplantae; Streptophyta; Magnoliopsida; Brassicales; Brassicaceae. The record is from RefSeq. The transcript has a single exon.
UAUAGGGCCCUCCUCUUAUAAUUUAACUAUAUAAACUACAUUUCUUGGAACUUUAUGUUUUGGCCAUAGUUUGUGUCCUAGUUCAUUAGUGUAUUUUUCUUGUUUGUUUAAUAGUACCACUCUCUAUAUGUAGUGUUAGUUGUAGGGCUUAGGUUUUGGUUGAUAUAUUUCUGCAUUUGAGUUAUAUGUUUUAAGGUUUAAUUUCUCUUUAAGUAAAACGAAUUUCAGGUAUUAUUAGGAUCUUUUUUGGUAUGAAAGAAGCCUGUCCCCUAGACCAUGUUAGGUGGACUACAACACGUUUUUUUUCCUCACUCU